This 29-nucleotide ribosomal RNA is filed under the name Peronospora chlorae. RNAcentral's name for it is "partial 28S ribosomal RNA". The record is from RNAcentral. Lineage: Eukaryota; Oomycota; Peronosporomycetes; Peronosporales; Peronosporaceae.
UUGGACCUGAUAUCAGCAGAUGCAGCUCC